This 56-nucleotide transfer RNA is filed under the name Brachycentrus maculatus. RNAcentral's name for it is "tRNA-His". Lineage: Eukaryota; Metazoa; Arthropoda; Insecta; Trichoptera; Brachycentridae. The record is from RNAcentral.
ACUUAAAUAGUUUAAUUAAAAUAUUAAUUUGUGGUAUUAAUGAUAUUAUAUAUGUU